RNAcentral lists this transfer RNA (71 nucleotides) under Marmota monax (woodchuck). RNAcentral describes it as "tRNA.Ala". It matches the Rfam family "tRNA". From Rfam's summary of the family: Transfer RNA (tRNA) molecules are approximately 80 nucleotides in length. Their secondary structure includes four short double-helical elements and three loops (D, anti-codon, and T loops). Lineage: Eukaryota; Metazoa; Chordata; Mammalia; Rodentia; Sciuridae. The record is from RNAcentral.
GGGGUUGUGGCUCAGUGGUAGAGUGUUCGCCUAGCACGUGUGAGGCCCUGGGUUCUAUCCUCAGCACCACA